GACGAACGCUGGCGGCGUGCUUAACACAUGCAAGUCGAACGGAAAGGCCCCUUUGGGGGUCCUCGAGUGGCGAACGGGUGAGUAACACGUGCGUAACCUGCCCUUGACUUCGGGAUAACUUCAGGAAACUGGGGCUAAUACCGGAUAGGAAUCCUUGCUGCAUGGUGGGGGUUGGAAAGCUUCGGCGGUUUUGGAUGGACUCGCGGCUUAUCAGCUUGUUGGUGGGGUAGUGGCUUACCAAGGCUUUGACGGGUAGCCGGCCUGAGAGGGCGACCGGCCACAUUGGGACUGAGAUACGGCCCAGACUCCUACGGGAGGCAGCAGUGGGGAAUAUUGCACAAUGGGCGGAAGCCUGAUGCAGCAACGCCGCGUGCGGGAUGACGGCCUUCGGGUUGUAAACCGCUUUCAGCAGGGGCGAAGCUUGUGGUGACGGUACCUGCAGAAGAAGCACCGGCUAACUACGUG
This 465-nucleotide ribosomal RNA is filed under the name uncultured bacterium. Its description in RNAcentral is "partial 16S ribosomal RNA". It matches the Rfam family "Bacterial small subunit ribosomal RNA", at positions 28 to 507 of the family's 1533-position model. The record is from RNAcentral.